CGGACUGCAGCCUGCAACCCGGCUGCACGAAGCCGGAAUCGCUAGUAAUCGCAGAUCAGCAUGCUGCGGUGAAUACGUUCCCGGGUCUUGUACACACCGCCCGUCACACCAUGGGAGCCGGGAAUGCCCGAAGUCAGCGGCCUAACCGCAAGGAGGGAGCUGCCGAAGGCAGGCCUGGUGACUGGGGUGAAGUCGUAACAAGGUAAC
This 207-nucleotide ribosomal RNA is filed under the name uncultured bacterium. Its description in RNAcentral is "partial 16S ribosomal RNA". It matches the Rfam family "Bacterial small subunit ribosomal RNA", at positions 1294 to 1500 of the family's 1533-position model. The record is from RNAcentral.